RNAcentral lists this non-coding RNA (45 nucleotides) under Schistosoma haematobium. The record is from RNAcentral. Lineage: Eukaryota; Metazoa; Platyhelminthes; Trematoda; Strigeidida; Schistosomatidae.
AUCCAGCCGACAAGUCCCAUACAGGACGAAAUGCGUGUUCUGGAU